Megalobrama amblycephala (Wuchang bream) is the source of this 939-nucleotide long non-coding RNA. RefSeq lists it as uncharacterized. The transcript has 2 exons. The record is from RefSeq and is a predicted model, not a curated record. NCBI's taxonomy places the organism in Eukaryota, Metazoa, Chordata, Actinopteri, Cypriniformes, Xenocyprididae.
AGUAACAGGCCUAAUGGCAAAUUAAAUUUGUUGAUGUGUUUUUUAAAAACUUUCAGUGUUACUUUAGUGUUAAAUUUGAAAGCUCUAAUAGUAACACACAGUUCAGAUUGAGUUUUGUGGUUUUAAUGCAUCUAUUGCUGUUGAAACAGUUGAGACUCGUGAAGAAGAGAUCACUUACGCCGAGACGACAUUUAACAAGAGAAACACACAGAAAACGAAAGUUAAAGAGGAGGAUCGUGUGGAAUAUGCACCAAUUGCAUUCAGAAGAUGACCAAACUUCAAGGUUUUUUUCAGUACAAAACCCUUCUUUGAUCAUUUUCAUUGGGAACCUCCUGCAACGGGGGAGCCAUUUGAGCCUGAUUCACUAUACUAUGUAUUUUUAUGAGUCUAUGGUUGAGAUUUGGGAUUGUGAGAAUCACCAUGUUACAUCAGGAGAUAGAUAAGACAUACAGCAGGGAUCAGAUUAUGUAAAUCAUGUGGUCUGCUGCAACAUUUUCAUGUUUGCAAAACAUAGUUGCUAAACUAAUCAUCAAAAGGUGACAAAGUGAACCGUGCCGUGGUCUCUUUUAUUUAUAUCUGUACACAACUGUGGUUUGAUCCGUUGGGUAGAUAAACAGCUUGUGCAUGAGAAUGAGUCUGCUGCUGGAUGUUUGCAUUUGAUGUCAGAAGGUGUCAAUAAAGUAAGCGUGUGUCUGAGGCGUCAAUAGCCCGUCUGUUCGAGUGUGUGACUGAGGUGUCAAAGGUGCGUCAGUGCGAGUGUGUCUGAGGUGUCAGUCUGUGUGGACAGAGAGUCGUUGCAAGGAUUUUUGCAUUUUACUCACAUGAAACUGUUGAUUUAUGCUCUACAGGGAAGCCAUUUUACUACAUAAUACUGAACUCAUUAGUUUGAUGUUUGACAAAAAGGUCUCUCAAGUCAAACAGUGAUAUUACUGUGAAAAA